GCAGUAUGGUGAGCUCCCAGCCGCCUGCCGCGGGCCACAGCAGCGUGCCCAGCGCGAGCAGCCUCAGCGCUGAGGCGCGUGCGCCUCGGGGACCCAUGGCUGCAGCUGCCGGCGAGGGCGCGAGCGCGACACACACAGGGAGAACACUACAUAAACUUGAAGGCAGAUAGCAAGGUGAUGCUUCUACAAGCCAAGGAACGCCAAAGAUUGCCUGCAAACCCUCAGAAGCUAGAAGAAAGGCAUGGAACAAAUCCUUCCAUCACAGUCCUCAGAGAGAACCAACUCUGCUGACACCUUGAUCUCGUUCUAGCCUCCAGAAAAGAUGGAGGCUUCCUCAACUGGAAACAGCUAAGAGAUGGAGCAAAGCCCCAGGAUCCUUGGCAGCAGAAGUAAAAUAAGGAAGAUGUAAAAGUAGCCCUCGAAGGGUCUUACACUGGAGUGCAUGCCCUGGUCCGGCUGCCCCCCAAUCCGUGUUGCUCCAGGUGCCACCCAGGCCACGCCGAGCUGCUGUGGGAAGAAGACCAUGGAUGGGGCCAUUUUGAUUUCAUGUACUUGAUGAUUUUUAGCCAGAAUGUCUGUGAAUGAAAUUAUAACAAUUAGGUGAAUUAAACUGUUUUUAAAGCAAUGAUCCUAUUUCCCCCCCAGCAGAGUUUAAAGCUCAAGAAGGGAAUUUAUAUUUGGGCCAAUAAGAAGAAACCAAAGAAUUGAUAAGAAGCUUGGCAUGAGACCAAGGUCUUCCAGUCUUCCAAAGGCAAAAAACUAGAUUCUAAAAAGGAUCAGGGAAUUGCCAUUCUUUGGCAAUAUGCUCAUUUUGAAAUAAUAUUUCUUUUUCUGCCAAAACUGUUGUUUCCAAAUUUGGGGAUUUUUGUAUCGAAUGCCCUUUAAAUUUCAGAAGUUUUUUUUUUU
Long non-coding RNA from Balaenoptera acutorostrata (minke whale), 906 nucleotides. RefSeq lists it as uncharacterized. The transcript is spliced from 3 exons. NCBI's taxonomy places the organism in Eukaryota, Metazoa, Chordata, Mammalia, Artiodactyla, Balaenopteridae. The record is from RefSeq and is a predicted model, not a curated record.